RNAcentral lists this long non-coding RNA (212 nucleotides) under Brachypodium distachyon (stiff brome). RNAcentral describes it as "long non-coding RNA (BDIS_LNC001383)". The record is from RNAcentral. Lineage: Eukaryota; Viridiplantae; Streptophyta; Magnoliopsida; Poales; Poaceae.
CGCCCUUUUUUAUUUUGUUAUUGGUCUUUUUUUCUCCGUCGAUUUGACAAUCUACCUUGCAACUAGCGUGUUUCCAACUGUAAUGUGCUUAGUGGUUUUAGGUUCUUACAUUUUGGGUCAACCUCUUAUGAGGCUAUUUAGCCUUAGUCUGGUAUUGCUGAACUUAUUUAAUAAUCUGUGUGGGAAAGAAAAUACACACGAAAAUAGGAAAA